Molecule: ribosomal RNA, 905 nt
Filed under: uncultured archaeon
Lineage: Archaea
Description: bacterial SSU rRNA
Rfam family: Archaeal small subunit ribosomal RNA
Source: RNAcentral
CCUGCCUGCUAUCGGAUUGAUACUAAGCCAUGCGAGUCAUUGUAGCAAUACAAGGCAGACGGCUCAGUAACGCGUAGUCAACCUACCCUAUGGACGGGAAUAACCUCGGGAAACUGAGAAUAAUGCCCGAUAGAACACUAUGCCUGGAAUGGUUUGUGUUCCAAAUGAUUUAUCGCCGUAGGAUGGGACUGCGUCCUAUCAGUUUGUUGGUGAGGUAAUGGCCCACCAAGACUAUUACAGGUACGGGCUCUGAGAGGAGUGGCCCGGAGAUGGGUACUGAGACACGGACCCAGGCCCUAUGGGGCGCAGCAGGCGAGAAAACUUUGCAAUGUGCGAAAGCACGACAAGGUUAAUCCGAGUGGUUUCUGCUAAAGGAACCUUUUGUUAGUCCUAGAAACACUGACGAAUAAGGGGUGGGCAAGUUCUGGUGUCAGCCGCCGCGGUAAAACCAGCACCUCAAGUGGUCAGGAUGAUUAUUGGGCCUAAAGCAUCCGUAGCCUGCUUUGUUAGUUUUCGGUUAAAUCUGUACGCUCAACGUACAGGCUGCCGGGAAUACUGCAAAGCUAGGGAGUGGGAGAGGUAGACGGUACUCGGUAGGAAGGGGUAAAAUCCUUUGAUCUAUUGAUGACCACCUGUGGCGAAGGCGGUCUACCAGAACACGUCCGACGGUGAGGGAUGAAAGCUGGGGGAGCAAACCGGAUUAGAUACCCGGGUAGUCCCAGCUGUAAACCAUGCAAACUCAGUGAUGCAUUGGCUUGUGGCCAAUGCAGUGCUGCAGGGAAGCCGUUAAGUUUGCCGCCUGGGAAGUACGUACGCAAGUAAGAAAGUUAAAGGAAUUGGCGGGGGAGCACCACAAGGGGUGAAGCCUGCGGUUCAAUUGGAGUCAACGCCGGGAAUCACUAGUG